AUUUAAGCUUGCUUCAAUUGCUGGCGACCGGCGCACGGGUGAGUAACGCGUAUCCAACCUUCCGUUCACUCAGGGAUAGCCUUUCGAAAGAAAGAUUAAUACCUGAUGGUAUGAUGAGAUUGCAUGAUAUCAUCAUUAAAGAUUUAUCGGUAAGCGAUGGGGAUGCGUUCCAUUAGGUAGUAGGCGGGGUAACGGCCCACCUAGCCUACGAUGGAUAGGGGUUCUGAGAGGAAGGUCCCCCACAUUGGAACUGAGACACGGUCCAAACUCCUACGGGAGGCAGCAGUGAGGAAUAUUGGUCAAUGGACGAGAGUCUGAACCAGCCAAGUAGCGUGAAGGAUGAAGGUCCUAUGGAUUGUAAACUUCUUUUAUAAGGGAAUAAAACGUCCCACGUGUGGGAGUUUGUAUGUACCUUAUGAAUAAGCAUCGGCUAACUCCGUGCCAGCAGCCGCGGUAAUACGGAGGAUGCGAGCGUUAUCCGGAUUUAUUGGGUUUAAAGGGAGCGUAGCCGGGUCGUUAAGUCAGCUGGAAAAGUUGCGGGCUCAACCGUAAAAUUGCAGUUGAUACUGGCAUUCCUUGAGUUGGCCGGCUGAAGGCAGGCGGAAUUUCGUGGG
This 614-nucleotide ribosomal RNA is filed under the name uncultured Bacteroides sp. Its description in RNAcentral is "bacterial SSU rRNA". It matches the Rfam family "Bacterial small subunit ribosomal RNA", at positions 72 to 675 of the family's 1533-position model. The record is from RNAcentral. Lineage: Bacteria; Pseudomonadati; Bacteroidota; Bacteroidia; Bacteroidales; Bacteroidaceae.